AGAAUGUGCCUCUCAUGCUCUAGGAACUGACAGCGGAGCUCCUUGACCUUUGACAACAUACAUGGCUUUUUUCUAAGAAAAGAGUGUUUCCAUAGUAAACACAGGCAAGAGUGAAAGAAUUGGCUGAGUUCUAGGUCAACAAUGUAGAAUGUUUCAGAUUUGGGGAGGUGAAGUGUUAUAAAGAGCAAAGGCAUCUUCUGUCUCCCCCCAGAACUUCUAACGUUUGGAGCUAACAUUUACUAAAUGCCCAGGCUGUUCUGCAGAAGUCAGAGGAACAGGGAGGAGGUCCACGGAGUGUCAGCGGGGCACCCCUGCAGAGGCCAGGGAGCGCAGCCCCUGGUAAAGGGCCUUGUGAUUUCUUUUGCAUGGUUCAGUUGUGGUUCAAGGACAAAGCCUUCAUGUAUUGCUUACGUGACUGGGAACCACGUGGGGCAAAGGGAAGAAGCCACAGAGGCAGACAUAGUUGUUUUACAUUUGUUUCGUGUGUUUCGGGCUAGACUCAUCUAUUUAUGUGCCGUUCCUGUUAGAUCUCCUCAAACUUCAUUGCAACCUCAUGAGUCUAAAAUAGUUCCCAGAGCAUUUUUACUUGGUCAACUUUGCUUUUUGUAUAAUAAAGCUAUGCUCCUCCCAGCCAUGGUCAGUGCAGAUGUCUAUUUCAGCUACAGGCCCCAGUCCUUCCUGUUCAUUGCCAGCAUGGACGUCCCCUCUCCUGGACAGCCCCUCACUUGCCCUUCUGU
RNAcentral lists this long non-coding RNA (737 nucleotides) under Marmota monax (woodchuck). The record is from RNAcentral. Lineage: Eukaryota; Metazoa; Chordata; Mammalia; Rodentia; Sciuridae.